AGUCUGAUGUGAAAGCCUUCGGCUUAACCGAAGAAGUGCAUCGGAAACUGGGAAACUUGAGUGCAGAAGAGGACAGUGGAACUCCAUGUGUAGCGGUGAAAUGCGUAGAUAUAUGGAAGAACACCAGUGGCGAAGGCGGCUGUCUGGUCUGUAACUGACGCUGAGGCUCGAAAGCAUGGGUAGCGAACAGGAUUAGAUACCCUGGUAGUCCAUGCCGUAAACGAUGAAUGCUAGGUGUUGGAGGGUUUCCGCCCUUCAGUGCCGCAGCUAACGCAUUAAGCAUUCCGCCUGGGGAGUACGACCGCAAGGUUGAAACUCAAAGGAAUUGACGGGGGCCCGCACAAGCGGUGGAGCAUGUGGUUUAAUUCGACGCAACGCGAAGAACCUUACCAGGUCUUGACAUCCUAUGCCAACCUGAGAGAUCGGGCGUUCCCUUCGGGGACAUAGUGACAGGUGGUGCAUGGUUGUCGUCAGCUCGUGUCGUGAGAUGUUGGGUUAAGUCCCGCAACGAGCGCAACCCUUAUGACUAGUUGCCAGCAUUCAGUUGGGCACUCUAGUAAGACUGCCGGUGACAAACCGGAGGAAGGUGGGGACGACGUCAAAUCAUCAUGCCCCUUAUGACCUGGGCUACACACGUGCUACAAUGGCCGGUACAACGAGUUGCGAACCCGCGAGGGUAAGCUAAUCUCUUAAAGCCGGUCUCAGUUCGGACUGCAGGCUGCAACUCGCCUGCACGAAGUCGGAAUCGCUAGUAAUCGCGGAUCAGCAUGCCGCGGUGAAUACGUUCCCGGGCCUUGUACACACCGCCCGUCACACCAUGCGAGUUUGUAACACCCGAAGCCGGUGGGGUAACCUUUCGAGGAGCUAGCCGUCUAAGGUGGGACAGAUGAUUAGGGUGAAGUCGUAACAAGGUAACCGUA
Molecule: ribosomal RNA, 920 nt
Filed under: uncultured bacterium
Lineage: Bacteria
Description: bacterial SSU rRNA
Rfam family: Bacterial small subunit ribosomal RNA
Source: RNAcentral